This is a long non-coding RNA of Felis catus (domestic cat), 2486 nucleotides long. RefSeq lists it as uncharacterized. NCBI's taxonomy places the organism in Eukaryota, Metazoa, Chordata, Mammalia, Carnivora, Felidae. The record is from RefSeq and is a predicted model, not a curated record. The transcript is spliced from 6 exons.
CCCUCCCCUGCUCAAGCCCUGUCUCUUUCUCUUUCUCAAAAAUAAACAUUAAAAAAAAAUUUUUUUUAAGGUACUGUGCAACCAUUAUAUUUGUAAAUUAUUUAGCACGUUUUUGUCACCUAGAAUAGCGUGCCAUACUACUCGAGGGGGCUAUCUUGCAAGUAAUACCAAGUUCCAGUGUUUGCUUCUUAGUAUUGAACUACAUUUACAGUUCUGUCCUAGACAUGUCGCACCAGUCGAAUCCAUUCGUGUGUCUUUUUGUUCACGUGCUCUGUACCACUGGUGAGUGCGCCUUGGUUUCCUUACCUGCUGCCACAGAAAGUUCUCUUACAUCCUGAUGGCUAUUGCCAAGGCUACACAAAAGAAAAGCUAUAUUUGUAUGCAACCCUAACCCUUUGAUGGCUAACCUAGGUUCCUGCUUGCUGCGCCUUGUUCCAUCUGUGUUCUUAUGCUAAUAAAGUAUGUUUGGUGUUCUCCUUGUAAAACAACAACAAACGAGUCACAUGUUGUCACUUCUGCCACAUUCUGUUCAUCAGAAACCAGUCACUAAGUCCAGCACUUUUGAAGGAAGGAGUGCAAAGGAUUUGUGAACAUAUUUUAAAACCAUCAGUUCUGCCCUGACGCACGAUCUGUAUGGACUUAUGCGAAGGUAUCCCUAGAAUAGAUUUCUAGAACUCAACAACUGGAUCAAGUGAUAUAUGCACUUUGAAUCUUGACAAUUCCUGUUUGUGGCAGAAACCGUUCAUCGUCCUCCAAUAGCCAUUGUCUCUCUUUCUCCAUUUAGCACUGGACCUCCUGACUUUUAGCUGGCACAGCUCGAGAAUGUACCUCCCAACCUCCAUUGCUGCUACGUGGAGAUGUGCGACGAAGUCCUGCCCAGUGAGAGGAACGGGUUGCUCAAAAAGCAAAUGACUCGUGGGUCACGUGAGUGGGGAAGGCCGAGGUGGAGUGACAGCGCCCUUCUAGUUCGCCCACCAGCCUCCCGCCCGAGCAGACAGGGAAUCCGUCGUGCCCGCGACGAUGCCCAUCUCAGAGUGCACGCUGUGUUCUUGCGGCCCGUGACGGCAUGGAGUGAAUCGGUUAGGAGCCUGCUUAGCUGUGAGGAAUACAGCGCCCAACGAACUGUGCCCUGAGCGAUAAAGACAUUCCCCCAAUCCACAAAGAACUACUGAGAGGUGACCCCAUGCCAGGCACCGUUGUAGGAGCUGGGGAGAGAGCAGAGAAAAGCGAACUUCCUGUUCCGGAACAAGAAGGUAGCUCCUGUGAGGGCAGGGGCUUGACUUUGCCUUGAAUACCCCGGGCACCUUUCUCCUCCAGCCCCCCCUUGUAUUGGCUUCUGCCUCGUGGUCAACAGGUGGCUUGGGAUGUCCAGGAAUCUCAGUGGAGACAGGAAGCAGGAGACACAGGUGACCAGCCAUCCCUGUUCCCUCUACCAAAAGGACACAAGCUUUCCCGGAACCCCCAGCAGAUUCUUGCUUACCGUCAUCACUGGGGAGACCCUGGGGCAGCGUGCGGCUACCUCAGAUUUUUCAUGACUAGUUAAUCUGGUUGUCAUUUAUCACCUGGGGUUGCCCAGAACAAAGUCGGGGUUUAGUCUGCAAAAGAAAAGGGGGAAAGAACAUUGGGGUCAGGCUGUCUUGUUCCCCCCUGUGGCUCUUGGGGGUCGGCAGCCACCGACAAGGUAAACACUCUGUGGUCAAAUCUUAAGUAAAUAGAGAAACAAGUUAAAAGUGGCAUUAGAUACAACCCCAGAUGAAGCAAAAAGGCUUUACUCAUUUACUGCUGUUUACUGAGCUCUUUGGCGAGCGCUCUUCAGGACGUGUGAAGGGGGAUGAAAGGCUCCAGCCUCAGGGAAUGUUCAGACCAGCUGGAGAUGACAGGCACAGGAAACAGCCUACGCCCGUGAGAGAAUGAAAAGGCUUUGGUGGGAUCUCAAUGCACAGAUAUCGAACAGAGGUCCAGAUGAGGAAACCGAGAGCAGAGACCUUGACCCUUCUGUCCACUGUUGAACUCCAGCACCCAGAAUGUCAGAGGAAGAAUGAGGAAGAGGAGGAGGAGGAGGAGUCACAGGUGCGAGGGGCCAGGAGCCCCGCCUCCUCCUGUCACCGACUGCACCCGAGACGGCACCUCUCCCGCUAGGAUGUCUCUAUUACACCUGACCUCUGCCCGUGGGAGAAAAGCCAGUGUGGGAGCAGGCUGCACGCACACAACUGGGAUGGUUCGAGUAUGGCCCCAAAUGUCCGCGGGCACGAUCAGGGAGCCUGUUUGGGGCCAUUUGCCGCAUGGCUACGGUUGGGAGGCUGGAAGUUUCCUUGAGAGUCAAGUCUCCUUCCAGCCAUCUCUGCCAUUCAGCUUGAGUAUUUUUCCCCCUGGGAAGGAUUUCCCCAUAAAAUAAAUGUCUCGUCUGAAUUAAUCUUAUUUUUCAAAGGAGGGAGUCGUCAUAUUGUAAAGACAGAUCAUAAAAAGAUGCAUCAAUCUGUCAGGAA